CCUACGGGGGGCAGCAGUGGGGAAUAUUGGACAAUGGGGGGAACCCUGAUCCAGCCAUGCCGCGUGUGUGAAGAAGGCCCUCGGGUUGUAAAGCACUUUCAGUGAGGAAGAACGCCUGGUGGUUAAUACCCAUCAGGAAAGACAUCACUCACAGAAGAAGCACCGGCUAACUCCGUGCCAGCAGCCGCGGUAAUACGGAGGGUGCGAGCGUUAAUCGGAAUUACCGGGCGUAAAGCGCGCGUAGGUGGCUUGAUAAGCCGGUUGUGAAAGCCCCGGGCUCAACCUGGGAACGGCAUCCGGAACUGUCAAGCUAGAGUGCAGGAGAGGAAGGUAGAAUUCCCGGUGUAGCGGUGAAAUGCGUAGAGAUCGGGAGGAAUACCAGUGGCGAAGGCGGCCUUCUGGACUGACACUGACACUGAGGUGCGAAAGCGUGGGUAGCAAACAGGAUUAGAUACCCUUGUAGAC
Molecule: ribosomal RNA, 465 nt
Filed under: Vreelandella stevensii
Lineage: Bacteria; Pseudomonadati; Pseudomonadota; Gammaproteobacteria; Oceanospirillales; Halomonadaceae
Description: partial 16S ribosomal RNA
Rfam family: Bacterial small subunit ribosomal RNA
Source: RNAcentral